This 65-nucleotide transfer RNA is filed under the name Hemigalus derbyanus (banded palm civet). RNAcentral describes it as "tRNA-Pro". The record is from RNAcentral. Lineage: Eukaryota; Metazoa; Chordata; Mammalia; Carnivora; Viverridae.
GGAAUAGUUUAAAAAGAAUUUCAGCUUUGGGUGCUGAUGGUGGGGUGAUGCCUCUUCCUUGAAGU